Haliaeetus albicilla (white-tailed eagle) is the source of this 114-nucleotide non-coding RNA. The record is from Rfam. Lineage: Eukaryota; Metazoa; Chordata; Aves; Accipitriformes; Accipitridae.
GUGGGCUAUGGAGACAUGCACCCCAUCACCAUUGGGGGCAAGAUUGUGGGGUCUCUCUGUGCCAUCGCAGGGGUGCUAACCAUCGCUCUCCCCGUGCCUGUGAUAGUCUCCAAU